Molecule: ribosomal RNA, 893 nt
Filed under: Escherichia coli
Lineage: Bacteria; Pseudomonadati; Pseudomonadota; Gammaproteobacteria; Enterobacterales; Enterobacteriaceae
Description: partial 23S ribosomal RNA
Rfam family: Bacterial large subunit ribosomal RNA
Source: RNAcentral
AGACUCAGUGAAAUUGAACUCGCUGUGAAGAUGCAGUGUACCCGCGGCAAGACGGAAAGACCCCGUGAACCUUUACUAUAGCUUGACACUGAACAUUGAGCCUUGAUGUGUAGGAUAGGUGGGAGGCUUUGAAGUGUGGACGCCAGUCUGCAUGGAGCCGACCUUGAAAUACCACCCUUUAAUGUUUGAUGUUCUAACGUUGGCCCCUGAUCGGGGUUGCGGACAGUGUCUGGUGGGUAGUUUGACUGGGGCGGUCUCCUCCUAAAGAGUAACGGAGGAGCACGAAGGUUGGCUAAUCCUGGUCGGACAUCAGGAGGUUAGUGCAAUGGCAUAAGCCAGCUUGACUGCGAGCGUGACGGCGCGAGCAGGUGCGAAAGCAGGUCAUAGUGAUCCGGUGGUUCUGAAUGGAAGGGCCAUCGCUCAACGGAUAAAAGGUACUCCGGGGAUAACAGGCUGAUACCGCCCAAGAGUUCAUAUCGACGGCGGUGUUUGGCACCUCGAUGUCGGCUCAUCACAUCCUGGGGCUGAAGUAGGUCCCAAGGGUAUGGCUGUUCGCCAUUUAAAGUGGUACGCGAGCUGGGUUUAGAACGUCGUGAGACAGUUCGGUCCCUAUCUGCCGUGGGCGCUGGAGAACUGAGGGGGGCUGCUCCUAGUACGAGAGGACCGGAGUGGACGCAUCACUGGUGUUCGGGUUGUCAUGCCAAUGGCACUGCCCGGUAGCUAAAUGCGGAAGAGAUAAGUGCUGAAAGCAUCUAAGCACGAAACUUGCCCCGAGAUGAGUUCUCCCUGACUCCUUGAGAGUCCUGAAGGAACGUUGAAGACGACGACGUUGAUAGGCCGGGUGUGUAAGCGCAGCGAUGCGUUGAGCUAACCGGUACUAAUGAACCGUGAGG